GAACCAACGCAUGAUUAAGGUGCCGCCCAUUCGGGGGGAGAAUAGGGAAGUCUGAGCAUGGGAGAAUCAUUCUGUGCGUAGGCGCGGGCCCGCCACUGUACCGGGGAGACCUUACAAUAGCCACUCGCAAGGGGAAGGCGUAAGCAGUCGAUGAAACGGGAGCCAGGAGACCUGCCUUAAUCGGUUUUUAAAU
RNAcentral lists this non-coding RNA (193 nucleotides) under Acetonema longum. The record is from RNAcentral. Lineage: Bacteria; Bacillati; Bacillota; Negativicutes; Acetonemataceae. RNAcentral also lists the same sequence under 1 other name.